This 708-nucleotide long non-coding RNA is filed under the name Struthio camelus australis. RNAcentral's name for it is "lncRNA (ENSSCUG00000012574.1)". The record is from RNAcentral. Lineage: Eukaryota; Metazoa; Chordata; Aves; Struthioniformes; Struthionidae.
GAUAAGUUGGAGUAGACCAUUAGCCAGGAAUACUUUUACUAUCAGUAGAGAUUAUUUCUUGCACAGAUUAAAUAAUAGUGACAGUAUUUUUUCAGAUUUUUGUUUAUCUGUAGCCAGCCACCCUUCAGUUCCCAUCUUUGUAUUAUUUUGUCUCUUCUCUGUUUUCUUCCUAUAGGCAGAUCAAAAACUAAACGAAUUGCAACGUGUUGGUUUUGUUCUGGAAUCAUUCCCUUUAUUCCCUUUAUACAGGAAAAAUAGUUACUGUUGCUAGUUUAAUUUUGCUCACAUCACCCUUUUAGAGGCGGUGGACCAACUGACAAUCCUUUUCCCGCCUGUCUUUGUUUUAUUGCGUCUUAUUUUUGCCUCCACAGAUCUUCUUCUGCCUCCACAGUGCUGAUUCCUGAAAUCGUUAUGCUGGCAGUUUCAUCCAGUAAAGGCUAUUUACCCUACCUGCCUUCCUCCAGGCUGAGACUCCUUGAUUACAAGAGUUUGGUAGUAAAACUGUUUCAUUUCACUAUGCCUCAUAGCCUUCACAAGGAGAAAAAACUGAAGCAAUGUAAGCAAGAGAGAGGUGUGAAAGGAGGGCAAAAGAAUGAAAUCACUCAGGAGCCAAGUGUGGAGAGGUUUCUCAUCCAAGUACCAGCUAGAUUUGUUUGAAACACAGGCCGAAAUGGUAAGGGGUUUAGUUCUCCAGAUGGAAAGUGCCAG